AGGCUGUAGCCGAGCGCGGGCAGGACUCGUCCCGGCAGGGUUCCAGAGCCAUGGGAGCGGAAAGGAGGCUGCUGUCGAUUAAGGAGGCCUUUCGGCUGGCGCAGCAGCCGCACCAGAACCAGGCGAAGCUGGUGGUGGCGCUGAGCCGCACCUACCGCACGAUGGAUGAUAAGACAGUUUUUCAUGAGGAGUUCAUUCAUUACCUUAAAUAUGUUAUGGUGGUCUAUAAACGUGAACCAGCUGUGGAGAGGGUAAUAGAAUUUGCAGCAAAGUUUGUUACCUCAUUUCACCAAUCAGAUAUGGAAGAUGAUGAGGAAGAGGAAGAUGGUGGCCUUUUAAAUUAUUUGUUUACUUUUCUCUUAAAGUCUCAUGAAGCAAACAGCAAUGCAGUGAGAUUUAGAGUGUGCCAGCUCAUAAACAAGCUUUUGGGAAGUAUGCCAGAAAAUGCUCAGAUUGAUGAUGAUGUGUUUGAUAAAAUUAAUAAAGCCAUGCUUAUUAGAUUGAAAGAUAAGAUUCCAAAUGUGAGAAUACAGGCAGUUCUGGCGCUUUCACGACUUCAGGAUCCCAAGGAUGAUGAAUGCCCAGUGGUUAAUGGUGUGUGUAGUUUCCUAAAUCUUUUUUCAGAUUUGUUGAUUUUGUUAAAUUCUCAGUAUUUGAAAUUUUUUAUUAUGGUCUAUACAUUUGAAGAGUAUAGGUAAUUAAUAUAUGAUUCAGAUUAAAAAAAAAAAAACCUAAGUAGCAACCACCCAGCUUAAAAAAAAAGUCAGUACUUGCAUCCUAUCCCAGUUGCAUCCC
RNAcentral lists this small RNA (795 nucleotides) under Pan troglodytes (chimpanzee). RNAcentral describes it as "retained intron". Lineage: Eukaryota; Metazoa; Chordata; Mammalia; Primates; Hominidae. The record is from RNAcentral.